Long non-coding RNA from Macaca mulatta (Rhesus monkey), 861 nucleotides. RefSeq lists it as uncharacterized. The record is from RefSeq and is a predicted model, not a curated record. Lineage: Eukaryota; Metazoa; Chordata; Mammalia; Primates; Cercopithecidae.
GACUCCAUCUCUAAAACAAAACAAAACAAAACAAAAAAAGCCGUUUUAUUCAUGUGUUUGUUGCUUUAGAGUUUACAAAGAGUUUUCCUGUUCUUUAUCUCAUGUGACUCUAACAACAACCUUUAAUUAGUGGGUGGGAAGAGCACAUAUUUUUUAUUAUGAAUAUUUUUAUUAUUUUACAGAUAAGGAAACUGAGAGACUAAAACACUUGGGUGAGGUUACACCACAAGUUUUUGAGCUUAACUUGAUAUGUCAUCUGUAUAAAUUUUUGGAGACCAAGCUUCAAGGUGUGUCCAGUCUCAGCUGGGAAUGGAAGAUGCUUUGCAUAUCUUUAAAAUCUUCAGGCCCUAGAGUUGGCGAUAGUGCAGAAAGAAUACCACAGAACUUUUAUGCCAGAAAAUGGCAGGUGCUCCGAGGGCUAUGUUGGAAUGCUUGGACUGCAUACAAAUACCAAGGGAAUGGAGCUUCCUGUUAACUGGGUACCACCUGCAGGACCUGGGCCAGGCUCAAAGCUGAAGGCAACUCUGUGUGGGCUGGCUAUAAGGGAGUCAAUCACCCUUGGGAGGUUGGCAGAGACUGUGCCCAUUAAAUCCCUCUAUAUCGUGCAGUGCUAAAUGGCCCAGUCAAAUCCUCUAUUUAGAAGAAUAUAUAUCAGAUGAUUAAAGAGAAAGCUGAAGACUCAGCUUUAGGCUGUUGUUUUUCUGGAGCAAUAGUGAGCAAAUAUCACUGGUCAUUUAUGAUGCUGGCUGCACAUUUUAAUGGGUAAACCAAUGUCCUUGAAUACCUAUGCUGCUGAUGAAUAAUGCCUCCUUUUGCUGGCCUUUCCCAUGGUUCUUUGAAAUAAACUUUUAUGUUGGUUAA